AUGAAGCGGAAGCCCCCGGACUGCCUCCCUGGACCGAGGCACACAGGAAGCGGGGCGCAGACAAGGGAGACGGACUGGACAGCAAGCAGAUGGUGUUUUUGCUGCAUCUUCCUGUUUUUAAAACAGCUGCGCUGUUCCUGUCAAAGGUGGGGAGGAGCAGAGCCAAGGCGGGAGGUGGGUGACACAUCGCCACGUUCCCCUCUCCCCCUCCCUUAUUCGUGGCACCCAGGCUGCUCCCGUAUCACGGCCCCUGUGCAGAAGUUGAAAUAUAGAAUACCACGAGGAAUAUUAUACAGCCACGAAAAAGGGGUCACGCAAUCACCUGCCGUGACGUGGGUAGAACUGAUGGGUGUGAUGUGCGGUGACAUAAGCCAGACACGGAAAGCCGGGAAUUCCAACUCCUUCCUCACACAUGGAGGCUAAAAAGGCCAAAGUGAGCAGAGAGUUACGACUACUAGAGGUUGGAGGGGCGCGCUGUGUGCGACGCGGGAUCGGAUCCGUGCACGCGGUAUACACGUGUGCAUGUGUGGCCCUGCACUGCGAUUUGUACGCCUCCGCUGACCCGGGCCUCCCUGGACGAAGGUGGAGGUGUCAGCGGGGCCCGUUUCUUGCAUCUUCCGGCCGUGAAGUGGGGGCUGAGGCAGGAGGAUCUCCUGGCGGCCUGGCACACAGCACAGGAGGCCUGGGGUGGAGAUGCCGGCACUGGGUGGGGAGUUGGCGGCUCUAGCUUGGGACCCUCCUGCCUCAGCCUCCAGAGGAGCUGGGAUCACAGGCAUCCACCUGUGCAGCCAGCCUUGUCAAGCUAUUUCUUCUCUGUUGUUUUGUUUUUGCAGCACCGGGUGGUUGAACCCAGGACCUGUGCGCCCAGCUCCACCCCAGCCCAUUUUUAAAAAACAAAUUUGAGACAGGGCCUUGCUAAAUGACUGAACUGCUCAGGCUGAACUGGCAGUAGCAACCUUCCUGCCUCAGCCUCCCGGAGUGCUGGCAGCACCAGGGUUCCUCCACAGAUCCCGUAGCUGCCUUUCUGUUGGGAUGCAGGUUUGACGCCGUGGGAUUCAUCAUGUAGCACAGGCUGGCCUUGGACUCACGGGGGAGAUCCCCCUGCCUCAGCCUCUCGAGUGCGUGCCGGGAGAAACCCUGCCUUCAAAACACAACACAAAACAAAACGCGAAGGCCGGUGUCUCCACGUCUUUUACCUCUUCCCCCACCCACAUCUGGACACGACUAGUCGGUGUUUGCACCGAAACCAGAGCGACGAUUUCACUUCCCGUUAGCCACGGGGCUGCGAGUGUGGACGUUUCGUUCCGCAACACGUUUUGUCAACAUUGACCGAAGGGACACAGCUGAGUUUCACACCUCGGGGGACGCUCGGGCCGCACGGUGGAGUACUACGCGGCCCCGAAGAAGGACGGGCCAGAGGCAUUUUUGGAAGACUCGAAGCACCCCGAGACGGUGAGGCCGAGGGACGGAAACCAGGCACAGGAGCGUCAGCGUCUCAUGGUUUCUCUUCUGUGAGAAUCGCAGAGUGUGAAACAGAAGAGCAAAAUGAAAGGUGGAUCACGGGACGGAGGGAGAGAGGCCGUUCUCAGAGGGCGGGGACCGCGAGACGGAGCGGGGGAGCGGGAAGGGCGGAGAAAGAGUGAGGCCGGUGCGCGCGGACCCGCGUUUCCCUCCGCGCACGGAGUGAGCGGCUGGGUUCGCGGCUGGGUUCGCGGCUAAAAGGAAAUCGAAUCGGAGGUCAGUGUGUCAGCGGCUGGUGUCCUGUGGGCUUUUGUGUCAGAGUUUUCUACGGAAGCAGCGGGGAGAGGGAGAGACUGGAAGAGGCCGGUGACGGUCACACGGGGCAGAGAUGGACGGGCACAGUCACAGAUCAUGGAGAGAGAGAAUGUCAGAGCUGGGUGGACGCGUGGCUGACGGGUGCAUGUGGUAGAAGCGACAGACACGACCGUGUCACGGGUGAACCGACAGGCAGAGCGCGGAGGUGUAGUUCACAGCGACACAGGCGGACGGACGCGCGGCACACGGCACAGACGCGUCCCGGAGGCAGCCCUG
This 2052-nucleotide long non-coding RNA is filed under the name Fukomys damarensis (Damara mole-rat). Its description in RNAcentral is "lncRNA (ENSFDAG00000031577.1)". Lineage: Eukaryota; Metazoa; Chordata; Mammalia; Rodentia; Bathyergidae. The record is from RNAcentral.